AAGAUAUAAUUAUAGAUUCUAGACUAGUUAUAUAUGUACAUAAAAUAUAUAAAUAAAAGAUAAAAUUUAUGCAGGCCUAGAUCCCAUAAAUUUAUAAUUGAUCCAGAUCUAUCAGUAAAAGUUACCUUCGACGGGAAGUUUUACCCAAUUUAAUCUAUACAAGACAAUUUAUAAUCCAUGCCUCGCCUACACCCCAUACAUUAAAUAAUAGUUUCCAUGCCAUGCCCAGACCCAUGAGUUCAUGAAAUAAUAAAUGAUGUGGUGUCAAUUAUGGAUCUAUCCCCUGAAAUUUAGGACUUUAAUAUAAAACUCACAUAUCUAGUUAAUUAUUUGCUAUGACACUCUGAUCAACUUUGACUUGUGUGAUACAUAUAUGUUUCUUAUCAGAUUUAAUGAAUGAAGUUUUGGUGCAUUUUAAGGCUACAAAAGUAUCAUCAGGUGUAUUCUAACCAUUGGUAUUUUUCCUCGCAACAUUUCUUUUCUAGUCUGUGAUAAAUUAUAAAUUUAAAAAAAUGUUUGUAAUGUUUCAGUUAUUAACAAGUAGAACCAUGCCAACCAGUUCUGAUGAUGUACCAGAAUGGCUCAAGGAUCAUACUUAUACUAUUUCUACUCUCUGGGCAGACAUUAAUAAUAUUGGCAUCCAUUCAAUAUUUAUUUUAUGUUUGGAAAUGGAAGAAAAAGGCAUGCAUUCCUGACAAGUCAAUGAUUGGUUGCACCUCUAAAGAUAACUUUCUGUUAUGAGAAAAGAUGAGAUUCUUGGACUCCUGCAUAGCACCACCAGAAAGGAAAAUCCCAUCAUGUUGCAAAAUAAAAGUCUUGGACCAAUUUUAAUUUAAGAUAUAUAUAUUAUACUGUAAGCUCUAUACAUAUUUAUGUGUAUCCUGUCAUUCAGCCAACAGGUUUGGAUUUAGUAUUUCUUUAAAUCUGUUUGAUAUUGUACUUGAAAACUAUUAAUCUGAGCCCCAUUAAAACAAUAGGGAGUGCAGUGAAUGAGUGGUAAAGCACUUGGCUUCUGAACUGAGGGUUCCUGGGUUCGAUUAAGACUGGGAUUUUCAAUUUCAGAAUUCAAAAGGCUAGGGAUACAUGGCAAUAGUAAGGAAUAAGUAAAGGCAGUUUGGGGAUCCAUGGCUGAAUGGUUAAGUCAUGGGUUUGAAUCUCUGUGAAGACUCAGAUUAAAAUUUUGUUUAGAUUUUUGGGUGCCCCUGAGUCCACAUAACUCUAAUGGGUAGCUGACUUUCGUUUUGGAAAGUAAAGAUGGUUGGUUGUUGUGCUGGCCACAUGAUGCACUGGCCAAAGAAUCAAAUGACCCUAUAGAUUGUGACGUCUGAAAUGGGAUUUUUUUUCAAAAGGUGGUUGGUUGUUGUGCUGGGUACAUGACACCCUCAUAAACCAUGGGGCACAGAAACUGAUAAACUUUAUAUCAUCUGCCCCAUAGAUUGCAAGAUAUGUAAGGGAAAUUUUACUUUUUUAAAAUUAAAAUAAGAAUCUAUCAAAAGUAAACAUAAAAUAUGGUGCAUUCUCCUUAAAACUAAAACCUGGUGCGAAGGUUUAAAAUGUUGGCAAAAAAAAGCAACAUCAUAUAUUCUUAAUUCCCUUUGCAAAACUUACUGAGAAGAAUAUGCAUGUUGUUCCCUCAUAAGUUUCUUGACAGAGGAAAUCUUGUUUAUAUUAGAUUUGAAUUAAGCAAAUUAAGAAAAAAAUUAUAAUCAUUAUUUCAAAUGGUUGUAUCUAAACCUUUUAUGAAUUAUUUUGCAGUCAUAAGUAUAUUGAGAUUAAUGGAUAAUCAUGAAAUUGUUAAAUAAUUGCUGCUAUCAUUCCAUUGACUAAAGAACCAUAAUUUUUUUUUUUUAAAUUAAUUUCAAAAUGAUUAUUUUCAAGCAUAGAGUUCACAUAGAUCUUGAGUGAAUUUUUUUUUUUUAUUUGACUAAUGCUUCAAUUUUAUUGUAUCAUAUUAGUUGUUAAUUUUUAUUACCCAGAAUAAUGCCUGUACUUCAGA
Biomphalaria glabrata is the source of this 1996-nucleotide long non-coding RNA. RefSeq lists it as uncharacterized. Lineage: Eukaryota; Metazoa; Mollusca; Gastropoda; Planorbidae. The record is from RefSeq and is a predicted model, not a curated record. The transcript has 3 exons.